GACGAACGCUGGCGGCGUGCCUAAUACAUGCAAGUUGAGCGAUGAAGAUUGGUGCUUGCACCAAUUUGAAGAGCAGCGAACGGGUGAGUAACGCGUGGGGAAUCUGCCUUUGAGCGGGGGACAACAUUUGGAAACGAAUGCUAAUACCGCAUAACAACUUUAAACAUAAGUUUUAAGUUUGAAAGAUGCAAUUGCAUCACUCAAAGAUGAUCCCGCGUUGUAUUAGCUAGUUGGUGAGGUAAAGGCUCACCAAGGCGAUGAUACAUAGCCGACCUGAGAGGGUGAUCGGCCACAUUGGGACUGAGACACGGCCCAAACUCCUACGGGAGGCAGCAGUAGGGAAUCUUCGGCAAUAGACGAAAGUCUGACCGAGCAACGCCGCGGGAGUGAAGAAGGUUGUCGGAUCGUAAAACUCUGUUGGUAGAGAAGAACGUUGGUGAGAGUGGAAAGCUCAUCAAGUGACGGUAACUACCCAGAAAGGGACGGCUAACUACGUG
This 497-nucleotide ribosomal RNA is filed under the name uncultured bacterium. RNAcentral's name for it is "partial 16S ribosomal RNA". It matches the Rfam family "Bacterial small subunit ribosomal RNA", at positions 28 to 507 of the family's 1533-position model. The record is from RNAcentral.